AUCGACAGGCUUAACACAUGCAAGUCGAGGGGCAGCACAGGUAGCAAUACCGGGUGGCGACCGGCGCACGGGUGAGUAACGCGUAUGCAACUUACCUAUCAGAGGGGGAUAACCCGGCGAAAGUCGGACUAAUACCGCAUGAAGCAGGGGCCCCGCAUGGGGAUAUUUGCUAAAGAUUCAUCGCUGAUAGAUAGGCAUGCGUUCCAUUAGGCAGUUGGCGGGGUAACGGCCCACCAAACCGACGAUGGAUAGGGGUUCUGAGAGGAAGGUCCCCCACAUUGGUACUGAGACACGGACCAAACUCCUACGGGAGGCAGCAGUGAGGAAUAUUGGUCAAUGGCCGAGAGGCUGAACCAGCCAAGUCGCGUGAGGGAUGAAGGUUCUAUGGAUCGUAAACCUCUUUUAUAAGGGAAUAAAGUGCGGGACGUGUCCCGUUUUGUAUGUACCUUAUGAAUAAGGAUCGGCUAACUCCGUGCCAGCAGCCGCGGUAAUACGGAGGAUCCGAGCGUUAUCCGGAUUUAUUGGGUUUAAAGGGUGCGUAGGCGGCCUUUUAAGUCAGCGGUGAAAGUCUGUGGCUCAACCAUAGAAUUGCCGUUGAAACUGGGGGGCUUGAGUAUGUUUGAGGCAGGCGGAAUGCGUGGUGUAGCGGUGAAAUGCAUAGAUAUCACGCAGAACCCCGAUUGCGAAGGCAGCCUGCCAAGCCAUUACUGACGCUGAUGCACGAAAGCGUGGGGAUCAAACAGGAUUAGAUACCCUGGUAGUCCACGCAGUAAACGAUGAUCACUAGCUGUUUGCGAUACACUGUAAGCGGCACAGCGAAAGCGUUAAGUGAUCCACCUGGGGAGUACGCCGGCAACGGUGAAACUCAAAGGAAUUGACGGGGGCCCGCACAAGCGGAGGAACAUGUGGUUUAAUUCGAUGAUACGCGAGGAACCUUACCCGGGUUUGAACGCAUUCGGACCGAGGUGGAAACACCUUUUCUAGCAAUAGCCGUUUGCGAGGUGCUGCAUGGUUGUCGUCAGCUCGUGCCGUGAGGUGUCGGCUUAAGUGCCAUAACGAGCGCAACCCUUGCCACUAGUUACUAACAGGUGAUGCUGAGGACUCUGGUGGGACUGCCAGCGUAAGCUGCGAGGAAGGCGGGGAUGACGUCAAAUCAGCACGGCCCUUACAUCCGGGGCGACACACGUGUUACAAUGGCGUGGACAAAGGGAGGCCACCUGGCGACAGGGAGCGAAUCCCCAAACCACGUCUCAGUUCGGAUUGGAGUCUGCAACCCGACUCCAUGAAGCUGGAUUCGCUAGUAAUCGCGCAUCAGCCACGGCGCGGUGAAUACGUUCCCGGGCCUUGUACACACCGCCCGUCAAGCCAUGAAAGCCGGGGGUACCUGAAGUACGUAACCGCAAGGAGCGUCCUAGGGUAAAACUGGUAAUUGGGGCUAAG
Molecule: ribosomal RNA, 1440 nt
Filed under: uncultured organism
Description: SSU rRNA
Rfam family: Bacterial small subunit ribosomal RNA
Source: RNAcentral